Molecule: long non-coding RNA, 836 nt
Filed under: Heterocephalus glaber (naked mole-rat)
Lineage: Eukaryota; Metazoa; Chordata; Mammalia; Rodentia; Bathyergidae
Description: lncRNA (ENSHGLG00100046819.1)
Source: RNAcentral
UAACCCCCGAAGAAAAACCGGGUGGGGUGAGACAGCCCCAGAAGAGCCUGCCCUCGGGCCCCUCGGCCUGCACCGCUGUGCAGUGGGCCGUGCUGCCUGUUGGGCCGCGUCCUCCCCGCCUCCCCGAGGGGGCUCCUUGUCGCACCACACCAACUGGCUCUAUCCUGGAAGAUGGCUAGCACCGCGGUGGGGGACAGCUGUUCGGCUCAGGACUCUGCCAGUACCAGAGCCAAAAUGGAUUUGAGAGUCCAGUGAAGGAAGAGUAAAGGAAAUGACAAAGCACCCUUUGGAGGAUGAUGACAGAAAUCUACGUAUGAAAAUAAUCACACCUUGGGGAUCUUGGAGGAUCUGCAAGCAGUACCCAUUACUCACCAGUUGUAAGAUCUCCCAGCAUUAAUCCAUCUUGGCGGAGGGAAGGACAUUACCAAAUGACUACACUGCUUGCUGGCCUCUUCCAGACUCCUGGCUGGAAAAGCAAACUAGUGAAUAUUCACUCUGAAAGAUGAAAUUCUUUCUACUCAUGGAAGUCCUUCAAGCAAGUAAAGUAUUUGAAAUUUUAUUUUAUUUUUUUGUCGAUCAAGUUCUAGCAAAUUCUGGAGCAUCUAAUUCCUGCCUUAGAAGCAGUUUCCUUAAGGUUUAAUCAAGUCAGGGCAUGACAUCAUUUGCUGUAUGAGAUUUGAAGGUGGCUAGAGAAUGGAUAAAGGAGAAAGAAUUACUGCUCAAGUCUAAACAAUUUGGCUGGGGUAUGAAAUCUUUGAUGUGUUUCAAAAGCACCAUUCAAAGCAAGUUAAAUACAAAUUUGACUUUCAAGUGUGAUACUUUAGGUAAUAAAUGGC